UCGUUUUCAUUUUAUUUUUAUUCUUUUUAAAAAAUUUCCAAAUUGUUUUAGGCAAAAACAAAAUUAAAAAUUAAAAACAAACUCAUUGAUAAUAUAUUUUAAAUGUAUAUUAAAAUUAAAACAAUAAUUAAAUUAUGCAUAACAUAAUUUAAAUGGCAAUUUAAAAUUUAAAAAUGCAAAAUAGGGAAAUUUUAAAACCCGAUACCGAAUAUAAAGGUCCUGGAUGUUACACUUGACCACAUGGGUGAGGCGGAAAGCCCAAACCAUAUGGCUGGCCCAGCACACAGGGUGUGCCAGGUGGGGCCACGCAGCAUAUGACCUCUGCUGCACCACAACAAUUCUGUAUUGGCACUGUAGUGCCUUCUUCAAGGAAAUCCACCAACAUUCGUUUGUGCAACCAUUUCAACCCAAAAUCAGCUUCCAUGAAACAUUUGUAAUUUACAUUCAAACAACUAACAACAAGAGACUAAAUCAUUUGGUCAUAAAACAAAAACCACAUCAAACAUUCAUCACGCACACGAUCAUACCAGAAAUAAACUUGUAUACAUUUCAAGUUUUAAUGGUUUCAUAAUCAUAAAAAUCUCUUCAGAAGUGUGGGAAUAAAUCCUAAAACCCUUAUCUACUGUCUAAUGAUCUAGUUCCCAAAAAAAUGAAGUCUGUUUGUGGUUUCGAAGGAAGGAGACAGCUGUCCGAGGAGAAUGAUAGUUACAGCAGUUGUUUCUGAGCUAACAAAGUGUUUUCAUAUGUAGAAGGGAAGAAGGCACGGUGGCAGGCUUCCACGGCCAGAGGAGAGAAGAACUGCUUGCGGUGGCUCUUAGGUUACCCUCACUUUCAAUCAAACUCUCUCUCUCGAGCUUCACACUUUCAGUCAAGUGAAGAAGGAGAAGAAAAGAGAAGAAAAUGAAGAAGAGAGAGGGUUAAUCAAGCUUUAAAUAACCAAGGAGAGAUGCAUGUGAUCGACGCAAAUUUGGUCAUUGAUCAACCAUAGUGGCCGGCCGGCAAUCACGUCAUAGCGUGCAUGCACGCCAUGUGGCAGUCGUGGCAGGUUGCGACUAUAGACAGACUAGAUUUUAGUCCAUAAAGGGAUGUGCGGCACUGUUCCUCCACGUGCAGUGCUGCAGGCUCGUAACAUCGUUGACUCGCAGGCUCGGG
This 1152-nucleotide long non-coding RNA is filed under the name Carica papaya (papaya). RNAcentral describes it as "long non-coding RNA (CPAP_LNC012976)". The record is from RNAcentral. Lineage: Eukaryota; Viridiplantae; Streptophyta; Magnoliopsida; Brassicales; Caricaceae.